GUCCGGCUUAGGUUGUUAGUAAAAGUGUCACUAACAAUAUACAUACAAAUAAAUACAUUGACUAUCUAUUUUGAGUGGAUAUUUUAAUACACAAAAUGAAAAGUUAAUAAGAAUAAUGAAAGAGAUUUAUAGUUACGAAAAUUCUGCAUCAUUAAUUAUUCAACAAUAGUUGUUAGGCAACAUGAAUAGGUCCAAAAAUAGUUUUCAAAAACGUUUAAUAUG
This 222-nucleotide long non-coding RNA is filed under the name Brassica napus (rape). Its description in RNAcentral is "long non-coding RNA (BNAP_LNC001250)". Lineage: Eukaryota; Viridiplantae; Streptophyta; Magnoliopsida; Brassicales; Brassicaceae. The record is from RNAcentral.